CACCGAAGCUAGGGAUUCAUAUAUUUUGUAUGGAUGGUAGGAGAGCGUUCCGUAGGCCUGUGAAGAUAAUUUGUGAAAAUUGUUGGAGGUAUCGGAAGUGCGAAUGCUGACAUGAGUAGCGAUAAAGGAAGUGAAAAACUUCCUCGCCGAAAACCCAAGGUUUCCUGCGCAACGUUAAUCGGAGCAGGGUGAGUCGGCCCCUAAGGCGAGGCUAAUUGCGUAGCUGAUGGGAAACUGGUUAAAAUUCCAGUACCUUUAUUUAAUGCGAUGUGGGGACGAAGAAGGUUAGCUCAGCCAGGUGUUGGAUGUCCUGGUUAAAGCGUGUAGAUAUGCUAUUUAGGUAAAUCCGGAUAGAUAAAUUGAGGCGUGAUAACGAAGCACAGUUAUCUGUGUUAAGUGAGUAAUACCAAGCUUCCAAGAAAAGCCACUAAGCUUCAGUUAAAUAAAAGACCGUACCGUAAACCGACACAGGUGGUAGGAUGAGAAUUCUAAGGCGCUUGAGAGAACUCAGGAGAAGGAACUCGGCAAAAUUGACACCGUAAACUU
Molecule: ribosomal RNA, 546 nt
Filed under: uncultured bacterium
Lineage: Bacteria
Description: bacterial LSU rRNA
Rfam family: Bacterial large subunit ribosomal RNA
Source: RNAcentral